This 492-nucleotide ribosomal RNA is filed under the name uncultured bacterium. RNAcentral's name for it is "partial 16S ribosomal RNA". It matches the Rfam family "Bacterial small subunit ribosomal RNA", at positions 29 to 507 of the family's 1533-position model. The record is from RNAcentral.
AGUGAACGCUGGCGGUAGGCCUAACACAUGCAAGUCGAGCGGCAGCACAGAACGAGCUCCUGCUUUCGGGUGCCGACUGGCGAGUAAUGGCGAAAAACCUGCCAAUCUGUUUUUGAUUGGGGGCUAACGCGGGGACUCUUACGCCAUUCCUCCUUACGACGAACGUGUGGGAUCUUGGGAUCUCCGGCUAUUGGAUGAUCCUAUGACCCAAUGUCGGAUUAGCUAGUUGGCGGGGUAAAGGCCCACCAAGGCGACGAUCCGUAGCUGGUCUGAGAGGAUGAUCAGCCACACUGGAACUGAGACACGGUCCAGACUCCUACGGGAGGCAGCAGUGGGGAAUAUUGGACAAUGGGCGCAAGCCUGAUCCAGCCAUACCGCGUGGGUGAAGAAGGUCUUCGGAUUGUAAAGCACUUUUGGUGGGAAAGAAAAGCAGCAGGUUAAUACCUCGCUGUUCUGACGGUACCCAAAGAAUAAGCACCGGCUAACUUCGUG